Molecule: long non-coding RNA, 314 nt
Filed under: Macaca nemestrina (pig-tailed macaque)
Lineage: Eukaryota; Metazoa; Chordata; Mammalia; Primates; Cercopithecidae
Description: lncRNA (ENSMNEG00000046001.1)
Source: RNAcentral
GCAACUUUUUAUUCAUUCACAUCUUUACUGAGCAUCAAGUAUGGGAUAGACAGGUAGAGGGUGGUGAGGAAAAGUGACAGUAAAAAUAAAAGAUCAAAGGUAAGAAAGGCAUAUAUUCUGGCUUCCUUUUCUUUGUAAAACUGUUCCUUUUUCCAGGAAGAAAGUAGUAAAAGAAAUCUUUUGAUCUCUGUGUUCCACCAUGGUCUUAGAAUCUUUACCAUAUACAAUACUAACAACUUCACAAUGGAAAUGUGGACUUAUGGGGUCCUUCCAGAGAUGCUCCCAGGAACUGCAAGGCUCCACUCUAUUCCCAC